RNAcentral lists this ribosomal RNA (489 nucleotides) under uncultured bacterium. RNAcentral describes it as "bacterial SSU rRNA". It matches the Rfam family "Bacterial small subunit ribosomal RNA", at positions 438 to 929 of the family's 1533-position model. The record is from RNAcentral.
AUACAGGAAGAAACACCCCGACGUGUCGGGACUUGACGGUACUGUAGGAAUAAGGAUCGGCUAACUCCGUGCCAGCAGCCGCGGUAAUACGGAGGAUCCAAGCGUUAUCCGGAAUCAUUGGGUUUAAAGGGUCCGUAGGCGGCCUUAUAAGUCAGUGGUGAAAUCUCCCAGCUCAACUGGGAAACUGCCAUUGAUACUGUAGGGCUUGAAUUAUUAGGAAGUAACUAGAAUAUGUAGUGUAGCGGUGAAAUGCUUAGAUAUUACAUGGAAUACCAAUUGCGAAGGCAGGUUACUACUAAUAUAUUGACGCUGAUGGACGAAAGCGUGGGUAGCGAACAGGAUUAGAUACCCUGGUAGUCCACGCCGUAAACGAUGGAUACUAGCUGUUCGGAGCAAUCUGAGUGGCUAAGCGAAAGUGAUAAGUAUCCCACCUGGGGAGUACGAACGCAAGUUUGAAACUCAAAUGAAUUGACGGAGAACUCCCACGAA